This 2118-nucleotide ribosomal RNA is filed under the name Triticum aestivum (bread wheat). RNAcentral's name for it is "partial small subunit ribosomal RNA". Lineage: Eukaryota; Viridiplantae; Streptophyta; Magnoliopsida; Poales; Poaceae. The record is from RNAcentral.
AUGCGAGCAAGACCAGUGCCAUGCGCGCGUGGCCCACACCGACAAAUACCACAGAAUUGCGCGGGUUUCUGGGCCUCACCGCUAUUACCGCAAAUUCGUGCCGCGUUAUGGGAUUAUCGCCAAGCCCCUCACUCAGCUCUCACCAAGAAAGGCUUCGCCUGGUCGGCACAAGCACAAGCAGCGUUCGAUCUGCUCAAGGAUGCCAUGGCAAGCACGCCUGUCCUGGCGUUGCCUGAUUUCUCACGCCCGUUCUCUAUCGAGACGGACGCGUGUGACACAGGGGUGGGCGCAGUCCUGGUGCAAGACGGCCACCCAAUCGCCUACCUCAGCAAGGCUCCGGGCAUACGCAAUCAGCGUCUGUCGAUCUACGAGAAGGAGUUCCUCGCGGUGAUCAUGGCCGUGGACAAGUGGCACACUUACCUCCAGCGCGCCCCGUUCGUCAUUGUCACGGAUCAUAAAAGCCUCUGCCAUCUCGGCGAUCAACAAUUGGAAACAGAGUUGCAGCGCAAGGCCAUGUCUAAGAUGGUGGGUCUCCAAUUUUCUUUCAAGUACCGCCGCGGCACGGACAGUGGCGCAGCUGAUGCACUAUCCCGCGUCGGUCACCUGCUCUCUCUGGAUGCCCUCUCCAUCUGUCAGCCCCAAUGGCUCCAGGAAGUAAGCAACUCCUAUGAAACUGACAUGGACAGUCAAGAUUUGCUGCAACAACUCGCUCUGUGCAGCCUGAAUGAUCAAGGUUACGAAUUACGCCAAGGCACCAUUCGCUUCCAGAACAGGAUCUGGAUUGGCGCCAACACAGCCCUACAGACCAAAUUGAUCAACGCAUUCCAUGCAAGUGCAGUUGGGGGACAUUCGGGAGUGACAACAACUUAUCAACGUGUCAAGAAACUGUUCGCUUGGCGGGGUCUAAAACAAGCAGUGGAAGACUAUGUUCGUCAGUGUUCUAUCUGUCAGCAGGCCAAGCAUGAACAUCUGAAAACACCUGGACUACUACAACCACUCCCAAUUCCAUCAGAACCGUGGCGGGACCUCACUAUGGAUUUCGUCAAAGGAUUGCCAGUGUCCGAGGGCUACGAGGUGAUUAUGGUGGUGGUCGACCGCUUCACCAAAUAUGCCUACUUUGUUCCUCUUCGCCAUCCAUUCACAGCAACAACAGUGGCUCGAGCAUUUUGGGAUAACAUUAUCAAGUUGCAUGGAGUACCCCACUCGAUCGUAUCAGAUCGCGACCCGGUUUUCACCAGUGCAAUGUGGCGUGCUCUUCUGGAGGCAGCAGGAACAAAACUCAGCUAUUCCAGAGCAUAUCACCCGCAGACGGAUGGUCAGAGUGAACGAGUCAACCAAUGUCUUGAGAUGUAUCUUCGGUGCGCCGUACACGACCAGCCAAAGAAAUGGCGACAAUGGUUACCUACUGCAGAGUUCUGGUACAAUACCACCCAUCACUCCUCGCUGAACACUUCACCCUUCCAAGCGCUAUAUGGCCAGGAGCCCAACUUGGGAGGACUGCCCACACUGGCCUGCACGAUACCACAGGAUACUGAUGCAGAUUUGGAUUGGGCUACACAUAAUGAACAACUCCGUCUUCAGCUGGCCCGGGCUCAAAACAGAUACAAGCAAAAGGCUGAUCGCCACAGGACAGAUCGCUCUUUCCAAGUGGGUGAACAAGUUCUUCUGAAGCUGCAACCUUAUGCUCAAUCUACUGUGGCCAACCGUCCCUGCCCCAAAUUAGCAUUCAAGUUCUUCGGACCAUUCACCGUCGAGCAACGGAUCGGUUCUAUGGCUUACAAACUGCAGUUACCAUCAAACAGCCACAUUCAUCCGGUCUUCCAUGUAUCACGGUUGAAGCCAUUCACACCUGACUACUCUCCGGUCUUCUCCGAAUUGCCUCGUCCGCCCGACCUGACUGCUGCACCACUACAACCCGAGUUGAUACUGGAUCACCGCAUAGUCAAGAAAGGUAACACCUCAGUCGUGCAGGUCUCUAUUCAGUGGUCCUCGCUCUCUCCAGAUUUGGCAACAUGGGAAGACUACACCGUCCUACAUCAUCGCUACCCCAAUGCUCCAUGCUGGGCUCAAGACGCUCUCGCUCAAGGGGGGGAAAUUGUCACACCUGCUACGAUGUAG